CUAAGAAUAUUCCGCAAUGGACGAAAGUCUGACGGAGCGACGCCGCGUGGAUGAAGAAGGCCGAAAGGUUGUAAAGUUCUUUUGUCGAUGAAGAAUAAGUGUGGGAGGGAAUGCCCGCAUGAUGACGUUAGUCGGCGAAUAAGCCCCGGCUAAUUACGUGCCAGCAGCCGCGGUAACACGUAAGGGGCGAGCGUUGUUCGGAAUUAUUGGGCGUAAAGGGCGCGUAGGCGGUUUUGCAAGCCCGGCGUGAAAAUCUGGAGCUUAACUCCGGAACUGCGUUGGGAACUGCGAGACUAGAGUCAUAGAAGGGGAUUGGAAUUCCAGGUGUAGGGGUGAAAUCUGUAGAUAUCUGGAAGAACACCGGUGGCGAAGGCGAACUCCUGGCUAAUGACUGACGCUGAG
Molecule: ribosomal RNA, 402 nt
Filed under: uncultured bacterium
Lineage: Bacteria
Description: bacterial SSU rRNA
Rfam family: Bacterial small subunit ribosomal RNA
Source: RNAcentral